This 374-nucleotide ribosomal RNA is filed under the name uncultured organism. RNAcentral's name for it is "bacterial SSU rRNA". It matches the Rfam family "Bacterial small subunit ribosomal RNA", at positions 526 to 896 of the family's 1533-position model. The record is from RNAcentral.
CGUAGGGGGCGAGCGUUGUCCGGAUUUAUUGGGCGUAAAGAGCUCGUGGGCGGUUCGAUAAGUCGGAUGUGAAAUCUCCACGCUCAACGUGGAGGGGCCAUUCGAUACUGUCGUGACUCGAGUCCGGUAGGGGAGUGUGGAAUUCCCGGUGUAGCGGUGAAAUGCGCAGAGAUCGGGAGGAACACCCGUAGCGAAGGCGGCACUCUGGGCCGGUACUGACGCUGAGGAGCGAAAGCGUGGGGAGCAAACAGGAUUAGAUACCCUGGUAGUCCACGCCGUAAACGUUGGGCACUAGGUGUGGGACUCUAUCGACGGGUUCCGUGCCGUAGCUAACGCAUUAAGUGCCCCGCCUGGGGAGUACGGCCGCAAGGCUA